AACGAACGCUGGCGGCAGGCUUAACACAUGCAAGUCGAACGGGCAUAGCAAUAUGUCAGUGGCAGACGGGUGAGUAACACGUGGGAAUAUCCCCUUCAGUUCGGAAUAACGUUGGGAAACUAACGCUAAUACCGGAUACGUCCGUGAGGAGAAAGAUUUAUCGCUGAAGGAUUAGCCCGCGUCUGAUUAGCUAGUUGGUGAGGUAAUGGCUCACCAAGGCGACGAUCAGUAGCUGGUCUGAGAGGAUGAUCAGCCACAUUGGGACUGAGACACGGCCCAAACUCCUACGGGAGGCAGCAGUGGGGAAUAUUGGACAAUGGGCGCAAGCCUGAUCCAGCCAUGCCGCGUGAGUGAUGAAGGCCUUCGGGUUGUAAAGCUCUUUUGUCCGGGAAGAUAAUGACUGUACCGGAAGAAUAAGCCCCGGCAAACUUCGUGCCAGCCGCCGCAGUAA
Molecule: ribosomal RNA, 451 nt
Filed under: uncultured bacterium
Lineage: Bacteria
Description: partial 16S ribosomal RNA
Rfam family: Bacterial small subunit ribosomal RNA
Source: RNAcentral